This 253-nucleotide ribosomal RNA is filed under the name uncultured bacterium. Its description in RNAcentral is "partial 16S ribosomal RNA". It matches the Rfam family "Bacterial small subunit ribosomal RNA", at positions 524 to 776 of the family's 1533-position model. The record is from RNAcentral.
UACGUAGGGUGCAAGCGUUAAUCGGAAUUACUGGGCGUAAAGCGUGCGCAGGCGGUUUUGUAAGACAGGCGUGAAAUCCCCGGGCUUAACCUGGGAAUGGCGCUUGUGACUGCAAAGCUGGAGUGCGGCAGAGGGGGAUGGAAUUUCGCGUGUAGCAGUGAAAUGCGUAGAUAUGCGGAGGAACACCGAUGGCGAAGGCAAUCCCCUGGGCCUGCACUGACGCUCAUGCACGAAAGCGUGGGGAGCAAACAGG